RNAcentral lists this transfer RNA (71 nucleotides) under Marmota monax (woodchuck). Its description in RNAcentral is "tRNA.Ala". Lineage: Eukaryota; Metazoa; Chordata; Mammalia; Rodentia; Sciuridae. The record is from RNAcentral.
GAGGCUGUGGUUCUGUGGUAGAGCGCUUGCCUAGCAUGCGUGAGGCACUGAGUUUGAUCCUCAGCACCACA